AAAUUGAAGAGUUUGAUCAUGGCUCAGAUUGAACGCUGGCGGCAGGCCUAACACAUGCAAGUCGAACGGUAACAGGAAGCAGCUUGCUGCUUUGCUGACGAGUGGCGGACGGGUGAGUAAUGUCUGGGAAACUGCCUGAUGGAGGGGGAUAACUACUGGAAACGGUGGCUAAUACCGCAUAACGUCGCAAGACCAAAGAGGGGGACCUUCGGGCCUCUUGCCAUCAGAUGUGCCCAGAUGGGAUUAGCUUGUUGGUGAGGUAACGGCUCACCAAGGCGACGAUCCCUAGCUGGUCUGAGAGGAUGACCAGCCACACUGGAACUGAGACACGGUCCAGACUCCUACGGGAGGCAGCAGUGGGGAAUAUUGCACAAUGGGCGCAAGCCUGAUGCAGCCAUGCCGCGUGUAUGAAGAAGGCCUUCGGGUUGUAAAGUACUUUCAGCGGGGAGGAAGGUGUUGUGGUUAAUAACCGCAGCAAUUGACGUUACCCGCAGAAGAAGCACCGGCUAACUCCGUGCCAGCAGCCGCGGUAAUACGGAGGGUGCAAGCGUUAAUCGGAAUUACUGGGCGUAAAGCGCACGCAGGCGGUCUGUCAAGUCGGAUGUGAAAUCCCCGGGCUCAACCUGGGAACUGCAUUCGAAACUGGCAGGCUUGAGUCUUGUAGAGGGGGGUAGAAUUCCAGGUGUAGCGGUGAAAUGCGUAGAGAUCUGGAGGAAUACCGGUGGCGAAGGCGGCCCCCUGGACAAAGACUGACGCUCAGGUGCGAAAGCGUGGGGAGCAAACAGGAUUAGAUACCCUGGUAGUCCACGCCGUAAACGAUGUCUACUUGGAGGUUGUGCCCUUGAGGCGUGGCUUCCGGAGCUAACGCGUUAAGUAGACCGCCUGGGGAGUACGGCCGCAAGGUUAAAACUCAAAUGAAUUGACGGGGGCCCGCACAAGCGGUGGAGCAUGUGGUUUAAUUCGAUGCAACGCGAAGAACCUUACCUGGUCUUGACAUCCACAGAACUUUCCAGAGAUGGAUUGGUGCCUUCGGGAACUGUGAGACAGGUGCUGCAUGGCUGUCGUCAGCUCGUGUUGUGAAAUGUUGGGUUAAGUCCCGCAACGAG
Molecule: ribosomal RNA, 1106 nt
Filed under: Salmonella enterica
Lineage: Bacteria; Pseudomonadati; Pseudomonadota; Gammaproteobacteria; Enterobacterales; Enterobacteriaceae
Description: bacterial SSU rRNA
Rfam family: Bacterial small subunit ribosomal RNA
Source: RNAcentral